This 453-nucleotide ribosomal RNA is filed under the name uncultured bacterium. RNAcentral describes it as "bacterial SSU rRNA". It matches the Rfam family "Bacterial small subunit ribosomal RNA", at positions 8 to 507 of the family's 1533-position model. The record is from RNAcentral.
AGAGUUUGAUCAUGGCUCAAGAACGAACGCUGGCGGCAUGCCUAACACAUGCAAGUCGAACGAGACCUUCGGGGUCUAGUGGCGCACGGGUGCGUAACGCGUGGGAAUCUGCCCUGGGGUGCGGAAUAACUCGGAGAAAUCCGUGCUAAUACCGCAUAAUGUCUCGGACCAAAGAUUUAUCGCCCUGGGAUGAGCCCGCGUAGGAUUAGCUAGUUGGUGGGGUAAAGGCCUACCAAGGCGACGAUCCUUAGCUGGUCUGAGAGGAUGAUCAGCCACACUGGGACUGAGACACGGCCCAGACUCCUACGGGAGGCAGCAGUGGGAAUAUUGGACAAUGGGCGAAAGCCUGAUCCAGCAAUGCCGCGUGAGUGAUGAAGGCCCUAGGGUUGUAAAGCUCUUUUACCCGGGAUGAUAAUGACAGUACCGGGAGAAUAAGCUCCGGCUAACUCCGUG